RNAcentral lists this ribosomal RNA (499 nucleotides) under uncultured bacterium. Its description in RNAcentral is "bacterial SSU rRNA". It matches the Rfam family "Bacterial small subunit ribosomal RNA", at positions 29 to 517 of the family's 1533-position model. The record is from RNAcentral.
AGUGAACGCUGGCGGCAGGCCUAAUACAUGCAAGUCGAACGGCAGCACGGCAGAGCUUGCUCUGUGGGUGGCGAGUGGCGGACGGGUGAGGAAUACAUGGGAAUCUGCCCAGUCGUGGGGGAUAACGUAGGGAAACUUACGCUAAUACCGCAUGCGCCCUUCGGGGGAAAGCCGGGGACCUUCGGGCCUGGCGCGAUUGGAUGAGCCCAUGUCGGAUUAGCUAGUUGGCGGGGUAAUGGCCCACCAAGGCGACGAUCCGUAGCUGGUCUGAGAGGAUGAUCAGCCACACUGGAACUGAGACACGGUCCAGACUCCUACGGGAGGCAGCAGUAGGGAAUAUUGGACAAUGGGCGCAAGCCUGAUCCAGCCAUGCCGCGUGAGUGAAGAAGGCCCUCGGGUUGUAAAGCUCUUUUGUCCGGAAGAAAAGCGCCGGGUUAAUACCCUGGUGUCCUGACGGUACCGGAAGAAUAAGCACCGGCUAACUUCGUGCCAGCAGCCG